UGCACCCAUCGUCUAGCGGUCAGGACCACCAGCUUUCUCCUGGUGUACGGCAGUUCGAAUCUGCCUGGGUGUAG
Molecule: transfer RNA, 74 nt
Filed under: Deinococcus cellulosilyticus NBRC 106333 = KACC 11606
Lineage: Bacteria; Thermotogati; Deinococcota; Deinococci; Deinococcales; Deinococcaceae
Description: tRNA-Glu
Source: RNAcentral